This 642-nucleotide ribosomal RNA is filed under the name uncultured eukaryote. RNAcentral describes it as "SSU rRNA". It matches the Rfam family "Eukaryotic small subunit ribosomal RNA", at positions 1145 to 1804 of the family's 1831-position model. The record is from RNAcentral.
UAAAGGAAUUGACGGAAAGGGCAUCACCGGGGUGUGGAGCUGCGGCUUAAUUUGACUCAACACGGGAAAAACUUACCAGGUCAGGACAUAGUGAGGAUUGACAGAUUGAGAGCUCUUUCUUGAUUCUAUGGUUGGUGGUGCAUGGCCGUUCUUAGUUGGUGGAGUGAUUUUGUCUGGUUAAUUCCGUUAACGAGCGAGACCUGGGCGUGCUAACUAGGGGCUACUACCAUUUUGGUAGUACGCUUUUCCCUUCUUAGACGGACUGUGGGCGUCUAGCCCACGGAAGCUCCAGGCAAUAACAGGUCUGAGAUGCCCUUAGAUGUUCUGGGCCGCACGCGUGCUACACUGAGUGGAUCAGCGGGUCAGGUUGCGCGAAAGUGUUUCCUAAUCUUCAAAUCCGCUCGUGAUGGGGAUUGACGGUUGCAAUUUUCCGUCAUGAACGAGGAAUACCUUGUAAGCGCGGGUCAUCAUCCCGCGCUGAAUACGUCCCUGCCCUUUGUACACACCGCCCGUCGCUCCUACCGAUUGAGUGGUCCGGUGAGGCUUUGGGAUCUGAGCGGAAAGAGCGUUUCGCUGUUUCUGUCCGGAAAACUCAGUCGAACCUUAUCAUUUAGAGGAAGGAGAAGUCGUAACAAGGUUUCC